This 1140-nucleotide ribosomal RNA is filed under the name uncultured Bythopirellula sp. Its description in RNAcentral is "bacterial SSU rRNA". It matches the Rfam family "Bacterial small subunit ribosomal RNA", at positions 57 to 1178 of the family's 1533-position model. Lineage: Bacteria; Pseudomonadati; Planctomycetota; Planctomycetia; Pirellulales; Lacipirellulaceae. The record is from RNAcentral.
GCAAGUCGAGCGAGAAGUUUAAGUUUGACGCUUCGGUUGAUUUCUUAAAUGGACAGCGGCGCAUGGGAGAGUAACGAGUAGUUAUCUGCCCUCAGGUCUGGGAUAGCCACGGGAAACUGUGGGUAAUACCGGAUAAUAUCUCAGGAUCAAAGGUGUGAUUCCGCCUGAGGAGGAGACUGCUUUGUACUAGCUUGUUGGUGGGGUAAAGGCCUACCAAGGCUUUGAUGCAUAGCGGGCGUGAGAGCGUGGCCCGUCUCACUGGGACUGAAACACUGCCCAGACACCUACGGGUGGCUGCAGUCGAGAAUCUUCGGCAAUGGGCGAAAGCCUGACCGAGCGAUGCCGCGUGCGGGAUGAAGGCCCUCGGGUUGUAAACCGCUGUCAGUUGGGAGGAAGGGUACGUGAAGAGCGUAUCUUGACCUAUCUUCAGAGGAAGUCCGGGCUAAGUUCGUGCCAGCAGCCGCGGUAACACGAACCGGACGAACGUUAUUCGGAAUCAUUGGGCUUAAAGGGUGCGUAGGCGGCUAUGUAGGUGGGGUGUGAAAUCCCUCGGCUCAACCGAGGAACUGCGCCCCAAACCACAUGGCUAGAGGGAGACAGAGGUAAGCGGAACUGAUGGUGGAGCGGUGAAAUGCGUUGAUAUCAUCAGGAACACCAGUGGCGAAAGCGGCUUACUGGGUCUCUUCUGACGCUGAGGCACGAAAGCUAGGGUAGCGAACGGGAUUAGAUACCCCGGUAGUCCUAGCUGUAAACGAUGAGCACUUGGUUGAGGGUCCUCCCAUAGACUCUCGGCCGUAGCGAAAGUGUUAAGUGCUCCGCCUGGGGAGUAUGGUCACAAGGCUGAAACUCAAAGGAAUUGACGGGGGCUCACACAAGCGGUGGGAGGAUGUGGCUUAAUUCGAGGCUACGCGAAGAACCUUAUCCAGGCCUUGACAUAGUUGGAUGCUGCCGGUGAAAGUCGGUUAGUUGCCUUCGGGUGAAACUUCUACAGGUGCUGCAUGGCUGUCGUCAGCUCCGGUCCGGAGAAUGUCGGGUUAAGUCCCUUAACGAGCGAAACCCUUUGUCCUUAGUUGCCAGCCCGUUAUUGGCGGGGAAUCUUAAAAAAACUUGCCGGGGUUUAAAUCCCGAAGGAAGGUGGGG